AAAGUUGCCAAGGUUGGAGACCCCUGCUUUAGAUGUCUCCCCGAAGAAUAGAUGGCUGAGAGGCCCAACUUCCGGUUCUGGGAAUUAAUUAGAAAGUGAUGGACAAAUGAUACUGUUGAUCUUUCUUUUGUUGUUGUUGUUUUCUUCCUUUCACGUUACUCUUCAGCCAUAAGUCUGUCUCUCAAGAGGCCUAUGCAAAUUGUCUCUAUUUAUAACCCCAAACUUUGUAAAAGAUGUAUAUUUAAUAUUUAACGGAGGUUGUAUGUUUUCGCAAGGAAGAUCCCAAACUGUUCUCUGUGUUUUUGGGGUCCCUAAUUCAUGGUUCACAAGUGGCCACAAAAUUUCACAGGGUGAAAUGGAUAUAUUUAUAUUUAAAAGUCUUACCCGUUCCUUGUAGAUAAGCUCUGUAGAAUAUAUAAGUGUUACUCAAUUAUCAUGGCGUAACUGAAAAGCAGUAUUUAAUAUAUAUCCCAGACUUUGGUUUAUACCGACGGUUGUCAAAUGGCAUGUGAUGUGACUCUGGAAAUGAGGAGUCCAUGACCGCCAGCUUGUAAAUUUUCAUUUCAAGGCUUGCUUAACGGUAACAUUAUUUAUUGAGUUCUGUUACAACUAAAACAUCUCAAGAAGCCAAUCUGGAAUGUUUGCACAAAAUUCUGCCAUAUAUGUAGGGAUUCAGAAAUUAUUUUUCAUAAUAAAGCUUACAUUUUUUUAAACCCUAUUUUUAAAAAUGCCAAACGCAUUUAUGUACACAUACACACUUGGGGGAAAUCUUGGGAAGUCACAAAAGAAACAAAAAUGUUUUAAUCUUUGGGGAAAGUUGAUAGACAGUCGCUGGAGACUGAGAAAUUCUGUCCGAUAGGCCAUCAAUGGAAGGGAGGGUUAACCACAGAAACAGAAGUUGCAAAUGUGAUUCAAUUGUCUUGAAAUCUUAUUCCAGUAUCAAUCUGAGAACACUUGUUUGAAAUGGCAUUUUUUAAAAAAACACUUAAAAGUGUUAAAUGAAAUUUGAAAAAUCUACCACAGCAUUGAUUUUGAGCUCUGCUGAAUAUUAGUUAUAGAAUGUUUCUUAUAGAAAAACGCACCCUUUUAAAAAAAAUAAAAUCAGAAUAACCUCCCCAAAUCUGGCACCCUCCAAAUAUGUCAGGCUAAAUCAGAGUUCUUCAAACUUGGCAGUUUUAAGACUUGUGGACUUCAACUCCCAGAAUUCUCCAGCCAGCUAUGCAUAGCUGGAGAAUUCUGGGAGUUGAAGUCCACAAGUCUUAAAGCUGCCAAGUUUGAAGAUCUCUGGGCUAAAAUCUUCCAUCGUCCUCAAAUAACCUGGCUUGUUAGCUGGAAACCGUGGUGUAUUUGGAGGGCGCCAGAUAGGCUAAAUUAAGCCAGGGAAAAGUAGCUUUGCUUUUCUUAAGCAGGAUAAGUAAGAAAUAUAUGCAGCCAACUUAAGUUUAUCAUCGAAAGACCGACCAAGAGCCCUUAGCUGUGUUUGUGUCGCUUGUAAACCUUGAAGGUACGCAGUGAAAUGUUCUUGAUGUUGUUGGCCAGAAAAUGCUUUCUUGAGGGGGAAAAAAAAACCCCGUUUUCUUCAAAUGGCAGACAUGCUUUAAGCUUCAGUUGCCUUUUUUUUCUGUGAUCAGGGAUAGCGGUUGAAGGAGGGUUGCGUUUAAAACGGGCAGGGGUUUUCUGUCAUAACGCUAGCCCCACAAACUUUGAUGUGGAUCACACCUUGUUUAAUCCAAGCUGACCAGCACAUCAGUCCAGGUAGCUGGGGUUGAACCCCUGGCUAAUCCGUCUGGCACUGUGCCGGAGCAGCCGGAGCCUGUCAAGCAAGCAGUUGUCCAAGCAAGCUGACUGAUCCAAUGGGACCCAAGGGUCUGCCUCCUUUCGGCACUAUAAAUAAGACGGAAUCCUAUGUAGUUGCACAAACGGCAGUCCAGAAGGGAUUAAAAAAAUUAAAAAUCUACAACCACUUUCUUGCUGUUUUUGACACCUUGAACAGACUCGAGCUGUUCUUCCCCCAAUAGUUAACACCCAUCUUCUUGUCCCAAUCAGGGCGUGGAUGUACCAUGUCAACAGAAGAUGCCUAACCACCCAGGGGUACCUGUAGAGUUAGACCGAGGAAAAACAUUGGAGAGGGUUGUCCCAUUUCUCAGUGGCAAGAAAUAACCGUAAUCCAGUUUAUUAAAAGCGCGACUGCGUCAGGUUGAAUUUCUAUAUCGGUACCAGUAUUUCAGUAUGCAUUGGGAGGCCUUCAAGUAGCAUUUUUAAAUUCAUGUUCCCAGCGUUACUGUUAGCCAGAGGUCUUCAAACUUGGCAGCUUUAAGACUUGUGGACUUCAAUUCUCCAGCCAGCUAUGGAAUUCUGGGAGUUGAAGUCCACAAGUCUUAAAGCUGCCAAGUUUGAAGACCUCUGCUGUAAGCACUUAAUGAGAAGUAACCCUUGGAAGGUGGCCUCUUCGCUUCAGGAAGAUACAGCACUUGGGGGGGAAUUACUUUCCAAAGAUAACAGUCGCCUUUUGCUCCCAAUUCCAUUGUCAUACUGGCCAGUGAGAAGCAAGCUGGUGGUAGCAGAUAGCAGCAUGCGAGGUUGAUGUUCAACUUCUAAACUGUGUCUUGAGGCAACUUGGAAGUCCCUCGCCCAGAGGGGGUUGACUGAGCUGCCCUGAGUCGUAACUUCGGGCAUUGAUUGGGCAAAGCCAAGGUGGGACCGGGUGGGUUUUUAAUCAUGGUUUGUGAGUCUCCCUUAUACAACUGACAGGGCCUACCUUUUUGAAUGCAGUUUUGUUGGAGAAAGUUCUUACGUAUGUUUAGGAUGUCCAGUGGAUGAAAGGCAUUUCUUAUUUUCAAAGCUGGCCUGCAGUGUGACUUGAAGGCUCAUUCAAAGUUGCUAGGAGUCUCAGAUAGGCAGCCAGAUUCCCAGUGGCCUUAAUGAUUUCUUUAAAGUGGGGGGGGGGGGAAAUCUGGGAUUUUAUUAAUCUUUACUUUUGGCUAACAUGCAUUGUGUCCAUUGGAUUCUGCUGCAUUAUGCAAUAAUUCCUAAGGUAUUUAAACCACUCCAAUGUGUAUAAUGAAGUGGAACAAAACAGAUUUGCACUUGAUGAGCAUGGAGUUGUGCCUAAAUUUAAAGAUUAAAUUUAAAGGCUGAAGCAGUGAAAUAGUUUUUCAGUAUAUAUUAAUGUUCGUGUUUCAGGUUUUUUAAACAUAAAUCCUCCUUUCCAUGGAGGAUUCAGCCCAUAAAAUGCCUCUUCAUUAUCCCAAAAUAUUCGUGGAACGGUGGCUUGCAUGCCUACACAACCUGGUCUUGCAAAGCUUUUGUCUUGUUAAAGCAUCUUCUUUCUGAACCUCCACAUUCUUCAUGCCAUAACUCAAAAGUGAAAAUCCCUAAAACGUUUGCCAAAGCUAAGGCUUGCCGUUAGAAUUGCUUGAUUUAAUUGUGGUUUUUUUUAAAAAAAAAAUACUCUGCAAUAACUACCACCUGCCUUGUGCAAACAAGGAGCAUUGCAUAUUUCAAGAGUUUGGAAUCCAGUUAUAGGGACUUGCAAACUGACUUAGUCUCAAAUGCUGUGUUUGGAGGUCAAUAGAGUGUCCUUGCCACCCAUUCUUUGCGUGCCUGAAGCCAUUUGUCUGAUGGUACAUUAGCAUCCUAAGGUUCAUUUUUCCCCCCCACCCUCUUUUUUUUUUUUGGCAUUAUUGUUGCUUUUGGUAGACCAACCUGCUACCGCCAGAAGCAUCCUGGCACCAGACUGACAAUUCCAUUUGCUCUGCCCUCCAUCAUUGUAGCGGUUCUUCAAAUGCAACGGACCUGGUCCAGCUGAAGUGGGCCAAGGCCUUUGAAGACCCCCUAGAUUUAAACUUGUCCUUGCCUUUGGCUGGUGCAGCCUCUGUGGUUGUGGGAUGUGGGAUUAUCGUGUCAGUGAGUAGUGCCUUGUUGAAACACGAUCAUGGUUAGAGAGGACUAGCUGGGUCUUCAGAAACUAAGUUAAAGUUGAGAAACACUGGCCUAAAGGAAAAGGGAAAAAAAAAGAGAGAAAUACUGUAUAUUGGAACCUGCUUGUAAAGAUAAUUUAAAAAGCCUGUAUGUAAAGACUUUCCUCAGUGUUGCUUUAGUGAAUAAACUUCCUAAUUCCCAGUG
Pantherophis guttatus is the source of this 4125-nucleotide non-coding RNA. The record is from RefSeq and is a predicted model, not a curated record. NCBI's taxonomy places the organism in Eukaryota, Metazoa, Chordata, Lepidosauria, Squamata, Colubridae.